This 468-nucleotide ribosomal RNA is filed under the name uncultured bacterium. RNAcentral describes it as "partial 16S ribosomal RNA". It matches the Rfam family "Bacterial small subunit ribosomal RNA", at positions 28 to 507 of the family's 1533-position model. The record is from RNAcentral.
GACGAACGCUGGCGGCGUGCUUAACACAUGCAAGUCGAACGGAAAGGCCCUGCUUUUGUGGGGUGCUCGAGUGGCGAACGGGUGAGUAACACGUGAGUAACCUGCCCUUGACUUUGGGAUAACUUCAGGAAACUGGGGCUAAUACCGGAUAGGAGCUCCUGCUGCAUGGUGGGGGUUGGAAAGUUUCGGCGGUUGGGGAUGGACUCGCGGCUUAUCAGCUUGUUGGUGGGGUAGUGGCUUACCAAGGCUUUGACGGGUAGCCGGCCUGAGAGGGUGACCGGCCACAUUGGGACUGAGAUACGGCCCCGACUCCUACGGGAGGCAGGAGUGGGGAAUAUUGCACAAUGGGCGGAAGGCUGAUGCAGCAACGCCGGGUGGGGGAUGAAGGGCUUCGGGUUGUAAACCGCUUUCGCCUGUGAAGAAGGGUGAGUGACGGGAAUGGGUAAAGAAGGACCGGCUAAAUACGUG